UGAGCCACAACAGGAACUCCUCUCCCAUUGGCCUCCAGAGCGUGCAGCCGAUCACCAACCUGCAAAGCAUGUGACAAGAGUCACCCAAGAAAGACAAAAAUCAUUUCCCAAUGACUGUGAACUCCCUUGCUUAGGCCUUUAUCCCCCAUAAGGAAACAAACAAAAAAGACGUAUCACUCCCUUGCCAAGAGCAAGGCUCAUUUGGCAAAAUUGCCGUCUAUAAUGACUGUUCUUUAAAGCAAAGCUCUCAGGUGCAGCCACAAGAAAAGGCAGCAAAACCAGGACAGGACGUCGGCAGACACCCUGCGUGUCCGGGGGAGACAGGGGCGGGGGUGGGAAAUAAUGCACGCAAGGCCCCCCACCCCCCACUGCUGUCCAGAAUCUGGGGCCAGGGGAGCAGACUGACCCCCGCGUCUCCUGGGGUUCAGAGCCUUCCCUGACCCCACGUAUGCAGUCACGUGGCAGAAAGCCACAGGGAGGGGGCGGCUGCACCUGGCCGCCUGCUCACUGCUCUGAGAGCAGCCACCUGGCUCAAGCAGGACUCAGCAUGAGGAUGAGUCUGAGCAGGAAAUCUGGGGCUUGGGGACCUGGCUCAGCUCACCCGCCAGCAGGGCUCUGAAGCGCUUCUCGGUGCUGCGGAUGAGUCAAACCAGAAGUGAUACAAGCCAAGACUCUCAGAGCUCGUCCCGGGUGCGUCCCUCACCCCACAUCCUGCUGCCUGCCCUUCUCUCCCUGACCUCCAGUGGCCUCUGCAAAGCAGCCCAACACAGCAUCCAGCGCCCAAAAACCUGUGUUAAAUGAACGGAAGCGAAUGGAGGCAUUUGCUUCCACUCCUAUACCUACAGUGGGCCAAUCUGUGACAAGCCAAGGCCAUGCAAGACCAAUCAGGACCAGGAUGAGGGUUCCCCGCUGGAUCAGCAGGUUAGGGACCUGACGUUGUUACUGCUGUGGUGCAGGUUUCACCCCCAGCGGGGGGACUUCCGAAUGCUCUGGGCGUGGCCAAAAGGAAAGACCAAUCAGGAGAGACAACCACCCCUCUUCCCUGGGCUCUCCUGAGACAGACACCUCUUGUUCUUGCCGGGAUCAUCUAUCCCACGUGUUCCUCUGAGUUACCUGACACCCCGCACAAUAUCAGCCCUCGGUCAAUGUCAGCUGAUGGCAAACCCUAUCAAAUCCCUCAGGCCUGGAGCCUUGCACUGGGGGACUCAGAGGCCUAAGCCAGUGGGACCUGCCCAGCAUGGAAAACUCAAGGGCUGCAAGCUCAUCAAAUGCGGAGGGCAUCGUGCAUCACGGCGGGCUUCACGGAGGAGGUGGGGGGUGGGCGUUACACGGCCCACCCUGGGGCCUACGACCAGUGUGUUGGGAACACGUGCUCAGAUUUUCAUUUAAGCCCCUCCCUCUCUGGGCUCCACUCCCCUUCCUGUCCGCGUUGUCAAAAGAGGUUGCCAUCACCAUCCAUGUCUAAUGCCAGCUGAGUUCAAACCUGCUGAGUCCCUUUCGGAAGCAGCACUCCAUGGACACGUGACACGGUCCCGACGGCUGUUCUCAUUUCUGGGCAGAUGGAAAAGUGCCUCCCCCUCCCCUCGAAGUGUGACGGCACGAGUGGCCCAUGUAAUUAUCUGUGAGCGCGUCCUUAGCGUCACUUCAACACUGUUUUUAUCUAAAACAUGAUGCACCCAGCCAGCUUUUGCUUCUCCACCGUAGUGGAGGUCAAGGUUCGGCUGCAUAAUUGAAAUGGAAACGUUAUUUCCCCCACCCACCCGCCCAGGUUCCCUCACCUCCGCAUCCUCCUGCUGAGGAGGGAGGCGCUGUUGGACUGUGGAAGGGGCGCUGGCCUUGGCUGGGACUCCAGGGCCGGCUUUCUGGGGGACGUGACCGGUGCCCCCCCUUCCAGUGGGGCGGGAAGGGAAAGGGCUGGACCCCAGCCUGCCGAGAACCCCUCCCCCAAGCGGCGCAGCAUCUUCUUUGUAGUUGCUUUUCAUCAUUUAAUUGGUCGCAAGCUGUAAUCACAGGUGCUGUGGUCAGGACGCACUUGGGUAACAACCACGACGAGAACUCCCCGGGUACUCGCUUUUCCUAAAGGUGUCAGCAAAGGCAUCGCUCAACUCUCACGCGGACGCUCAAACAGAAACCCAGCCUUCACGGAAAGACCGUGAAUGUCUAAGGAAGGCACCAGUGUCUGCCCCUCUGCUGUGAACGUGUGCCUGUGAGGCGCUCGAGAUGGGCACAGUGGAAUGUGGGGAUGCUCUGUGCCAACUCUGCCAUGUUCCCAUAAACUGAAAAGUCUUCCCAAAUAAAAGGGUUAUUAAAAAUGUUUUAA
This is a long non-coding RNA of Phacochoerus africanus (Common warthog), 2320 nucleotides long. RefSeq lists it as uncharacterized. NCBI's taxonomy places the organism in Eukaryota, Metazoa, Chordata, Mammalia, Artiodactyla, Suidae. The transcript is spliced from 2 exons. The record is from RefSeq and is a predicted model, not a curated record.